UACAGAGGUCUCAAGCGUUGUUCGGAUUCAUUGGGCGUAAAGGGUGCGUAGGUGGCGGGGUAAGUCAGGUGUGAAAUUUCGGAGCUCAACUCCGAAACUGCAUUUGAUACUGCCUUGCUUGAGGACUGGAGAGGAGACUGGAAUUCACGGUGUAGCAGUGAAAUGCGCAGAUAUCGGGAGGAACACCUAUGGCGAAGGCAGCUCGCUGGGACGUUACUGACGCUGAGACGCGAAAGCGUGGGGAGCAAACAGG
RNAcentral lists this ribosomal RNA (253 nucleotides) under uncultured bacterium. Its description in RNAcentral is "partial 16S ribosomal RNA". It matches the Rfam family "Bacterial small subunit ribosomal RNA", at positions 524 to 776 of the family's 1533-position model. The record is from RNAcentral.